GUGCCAGCAGCCGCGGUAAUACGUAGGGUCCGAGCGUUGUCCGGAUUUAUUGGGCGUAAAGAGCUCGUAGGCGGUUCCGUAAGUCAGAUGUGAAAACUCAGGGCUCAACCCGGAGACGCCAUCUGAUACUGCGGUGACUGGAGUCUGGUAGGGGAACACGGAAUUCCUGGUGUAGCGGUGAAAUGCGCAGAUAUCAGGAGGAACACCGAUGGCGAAGGCAGUGUUCUGGGCCAGUACUGACGCUGAGGAGCGAAAGCGUGGGGAGCAAACAGGAUUAGAUACCCUGGUAGUCC
RNAcentral lists this ribosomal RNA (293 nucleotides) under uncultured bacterium. Its description in RNAcentral is "partial 16S ribosomal RNA". It matches the Rfam family "Bacterial small subunit ribosomal RNA", at positions 505 to 796 of the family's 1533-position model. The record is from RNAcentral.